RNAcentral lists this long non-coding RNA (450 nucleotides) under Malus domestica (apple). Its description in RNAcentral is "long non-coding RNA (MDOM_LNC003686)". Lineage: Eukaryota; Viridiplantae; Streptophyta; Magnoliopsida; Rosales; Rosaceae. The record is from RNAcentral.
CGCGAGAAAAUAGCAACAAAGGAAAGAUUAGUCGCAUAAAGUUUUAAGGGAACAAGCUUUCCUUAUCGCAAGAUUUACCUCUAUCGUCACACAUUUUAAUGGGGACAACGAAAUUUUUCGUCGCAUAAACCAUUUUUUAAUUUUUUUUAGGAAAAAUUGUUUACAAACUGAAUAUUAAACAAAAUAAUUUUGUUUGGUUAAAUUUAAUUAGGAACAAUAAUUAAUAAAGAAGGAAAUUAAUUAAAAAUAAAUAUGUAAAUGUACAUACAAGCGGAAUUAAAAAAAAAAAGUACAAAUGUUUAAUUAAAAAACAAAACUCCAAUAGAAAGUCAUCAGAGUCAGCUACGCUAUCAGCUGUGCUGGGUCAAGAGCCUGGGAGGUCGCAGGUGUAGUAAAAUGAGGUGUAGCAAUGAGGAUGUUGAAGCCAGACAUUUGAAACGCAAUGAUCAU